GCAGACGUGAUGAAAUUGGCAAACAUAUUUACUUUAGGCGUAAAGUUCUGAAGGUUCAAGUCCUUCCGUCUGUA
RNAcentral lists this transfer RNA (74 nucleotides) under Schizosaccharomyces osmophilus. Its description in RNAcentral is "tRNA-Leu". It matches the Rfam family "tRNA". Rfam says of the family: Transfer RNA (tRNA) molecules are approximately 80 nucleotides in length. Their secondary structure includes four short double-helical elements and three loops (D, anti-codon, and T loops). The record is from RNAcentral. Lineage: Eukaryota; Fungi; Ascomycota; Schizosaccharomycetes; Schizosaccharomycetales; Schizosaccharomycetaceae.